Molecule: ribosomal RNA, 253 nt
Filed under: uncultured Acidobacteriota bacterium
Lineage: Bacteria; Pseudomonadati; Acidobacteriota
Description: uncultured Acidobacteria bacterium partial 16S ribosomal RNA
Rfam family: Bacterial small subunit ribosomal RNA
Source: RNAcentral
UACAGAGGGAGCAAGCGUUGUUCGGAAUUACUGGGCGUAAAGGGCGCGUAGGCGGUCUAUUAAGUCCCGUGUGAAAUCCCUCGGCUCAACUGAGGAACCGCACGGGAAACUGGCAGACUUGAGUUUGGGAGAGGGAAGCGGAAUUCCGGGUGUAGCGGUGAAAUGCGUAGAUAUCCGGAGGAACACCGGUGGCGAAGGCGGCUUCCUGGACCACGACUGACGCUGAGGCGCGAAAGCUAGGGGAGCAAACGGG